Molecule: ribosomal RNA, 790 nt
Filed under: Arthrobacter sp. MJ431
Lineage: Bacteria; Bacillati; Actinomycetota; Actinomycetes; Micrococcales; Micrococcaceae
Also listed under: 1 other name
Description: bacterial SSU rRNA
Rfam family: Bacterial small subunit ribosomal RNA
Source: RNAcentral
GUCGAACGAUGAUCUCCAGCUUGCUGGGGGGAUUAGUGGCGAACGGGUGAGUAACACGUGAGUAACCUGCCCUUGACUCUGGGAUAAGCCUGGGAAACUGGGUCUAAUACUGGAUACGACCUUCCCACGCAUGUGGUGUUGGUGGAAAGCUUUUGUGGUUUUGGAUGGACUCGCGGCCUAUCAGCUUGUUGGUGGGGUAAUGGCCUACCAAGGCGACGACGGGUAGCCGGCCUGAGAGGGUGGACGGCCACACUGGGACUGAGACACGGCCCAGACUCCUACGGGAGGCAGCAGUGGGGAAUAUUGCACAAUGGGCGCAAGCCUGAUGCAGCGACGCCGCGUGAGGGAUGAAGGCCUUCGGGUUGUAAACCUCUUUCAGUAGGGAAGAAGCGAAAGUGACGGUACCUGCAGAAGAAGCGCCGGCUAACUACGUGCCAGCAGCCGCGGUAAUACGUAGGGCGCAAGCGUUAUCCGGAAUUAUUGGGCGUAAAGAGCUCGUAGGCGGUUUGUCGCGUCUGCCGUGAAAGUCCGGGGCUUAACUCCGGAUCUGCGGUGGGUACGGGCAGACUUGAGUGAUGUAGGGGAGACUGGAAUUCCUGGUGUAGCGGUGAAAUGCGCAGAUAUCAGGAGGAACACCGAUGGCGAAGGCAGGUCUCUGGGCAUUAACUGACGCUGAGGAGCGAAAGCAUGGGGAGCGAACAGGAUUAGAUACCCUGGUAGUCCAUGCCGUAAACGUUGGGCACUAGGUGUGGGGGACAUUCCACGUUUUCCGCGCCGUAGCUAACGCAUU